This is a long non-coding RNA of Rhododendron vialii, 1888 nucleotides long. RefSeq lists it as uncharacterized. The record is from RefSeq and is a predicted model, not a curated record. NCBI's taxonomy places the organism in Eukaryota, Viridiplantae, Streptophyta, Magnoliopsida, Ericales, Ericaceae. The transcript is spliced from 5 exons.
UAUCAAACAAAAUCCAUAUUGGUAGAAAAAUUAUUUGCGUAAACACAUGAUUUUUUGAGCUUAAAAUUACCUUCCUUUUCUAAAAGUUCUUUUGUUUAGAAACCGGAACGGGCCCUAUGCUUGGUUUUUAUCAAGAUGGUUUGGUGGGAAAUGUGGAACCCCUUUGGGGAGAAAUGUGGAACCCCUUUGGGGAGAAAUGUGGAAAUUGGGUUGCGAAGCGAGCGGGUAUAGUUCUAGUAUUUUGAUGGCAGCGUAUUGUGAGGACGGGAAGAUGGGGGAGGCUUUGAAGUUGUGGGAAGAAAUGGGGAUUAAGGGUUUGAAGCCUGAUUAUGUGGCUUACAAGUUACAACACUAUGAUUGGUGGGUUUUGUAGAAUUGGAGAGGUUGGAAGGGCAGAAGAGUUUUUUAGAGAAAUUGGGUUGAGUGGUGUGGAAUGUUCUUGUGUUACUUUUGAGCAUUUUAUCAAUGGGUAUUGUCAGAUUGGAGAAGUGGAUUCAGCAAUGAUGUUGUAUAAGGAUAUGUGUAGGAAUGGUUUUAGGCCAGAGAGUUCGACAGUUGAUGCUGUUAUUAGAGGACUUGGUGGGGAGAAUAGGGUUUCUGAGGCUUUGGAGUUUCUGGAAGUUGCAAUCAGAAAACAUAAGCUUGCACCGAAAAGGAAAAGUUAUGAGGUUCUGAUAAAGCGGUUAUGUCAAGGGGGGAGGAUGGAAGAAGCAUUAAAGCUUCAAGCAGAGAUGGUAGGGAAAGGGUUUGAACCGAAUUGUGAGAUUUAUAGUUCUUUCAUUGAGUUGAAUGUGAAAGAAGGAAAUGAUGAACUAGCAGAAGUGUUGAAGAAGGAAAUGUUUGAAACUCAGAUGCUGAAGGAAGAGGAGUAACUGAUUGUUUUCCAAUCAUUGUGAGCUACCUUUACUUUCGGGUUCUAGUUGCCGCAGUUUCAAUUGGAUGAUUUUGUUCGAAAUUCUGAAAGAUGGUAUGGACAUAAACUGCUUGCAAUUUGGUGAGAAAUUCACUCUGAGCAGGCAUAUGACUGCCUUAAGUUGAAUUUCGCUCCUAUGGUGACAUUGGAGAAUAGCAGCCGAAUGGAGCAAUGAAAAUCAUUGACAGGAAAAACAAGAUUUUUAAGCUGUCUCAAGGGGAAUAUAUUGCAGUGGAAAACUUUGAAAACACAUACAUGCGAUGCCCUCUUGUGACAUCUAUUUGGGUCUAUGGUAACAGUUUUGAAUCUUUCUCGGUAGCCGUGGUGGUUCCUGACCGAAAGGCACUGGAGCAAUGAGCAGCUGACAAUAACCAAACAGGAGAUUUCAUACAGUUGCAUGAAAACCUGAAGGCAAGGAAAUACAUUCUAGACGAGCUCAAUAGCACCAGUCAGAAGAACAAAUUACGAAAAGAAACUCCUCACUUAUUCCUCUGUUGUGAAUUCUAAGCUUAAAUUUGGUUCCUUAUCUGAUCUAAAUGACGUUUACACAGCUGAGAGGCUUUGAAAUGUUGAGAAGGAUCUUGUAACUCCAACAUUUAAACUGAAGAGGCCGCAGUUGCUGAAAUAGUACAAGGACUGCAUUGAUGAACUCUACAAGGAAACUAAGCGAAGAAUGGAAUGAUUUAUUAGGAUGUGAUAUCCAGAUAUAGAGGCAACCAGCAUAUGCUUCAGAGAGUCUGAUUUCAGUACAAGAAAUCACAAAAACACAUGCUCCUCCAACAAGUUUGGAUGCCGUAUUCUAGUUCCUGGUUGUAUAUAAAUAUAUAGUAUCUGAAUGAAGUUUCCCCUAUCUGUAUGGCACUUACGAAUCAUAUCUUUUCAAGAAUUCAUAAUUGGCAUGAUACAUCCUCUAUUUAACAUCUUAUUUUCUCUCUUCUAAUUCUCUGUUAUAUAUAUGAUAUGAUCUUUCUAUUA